RNAcentral lists this long non-coding RNA (348 nucleotides) under Carica papaya (papaya). RNAcentral's name for it is "long non-coding RNA (CPAP_LNC004451)". The record is from RNAcentral. Lineage: Eukaryota; Viridiplantae; Streptophyta; Magnoliopsida; Brassicales; Caricaceae.
UUCUUUUUUAAACUACCACCAAUAUUCGGCUUCACCGGUUAACAUGAAGGCUACUAAGGGAAUUUUUUGCUUCUUAGUUAGGUCGAAGACAGAAAAGUUUCUCUAUCUCUAGGAUCCAGGUUUCGGCUACUAAGGGAUUGGGGCCUCCUUUAAAGUGGGGUAGGUUAAGUUUCCUAAACUCUGCUAUGUUGUAGCAGAUAGAUCUCUCAAUUGGUCAGUAGUCAGGGGCAGGAGGAUGUUGGCAAGGGUUGGCGUGUUUUUGUCCUACGGCUGCGAAUAGACCUUGAAUGGCUUGGAAGAGUUCCGUAAACUCGGUCCUGGUCGGAUGAUCUUGAGCCUUAGGUCUUU